RNAcentral lists this ribosomal RNA (278 nucleotides) under uncultured bacterium. RNAcentral describes it as "partial 16S ribosomal RNA". It matches the Rfam family "Bacterial small subunit ribosomal RNA", at positions 399 to 691 of the family's 1533-position model. The record is from RNAcentral.
GCGUGAAGGAAGAAGGUCUUCGGAUUGUAAACUUUUGUCCCGCGGGAAGAAAAAAAUGACGGUACCGCGGGAGGAAGCCCCGGCUAACUACGUGCCAGCAGCCGCGGUAAUACGUAGGGGGCGAGCGUUGUCCGGAAUUACUGGGCGUAAAGGGUGCGCAGGCGGUUUUUUAAGUCAGGUGUGAAAUACCCGGGCUCAACCCGGGGGGUGCAUUUGAAACUGGGAGACUUGAGUGCAGGAGAGGGGAGCGGAAUUCCUAGUGUAGCGGUGAAAUGCGU